This 498-nucleotide ribosomal RNA is filed under the name uncultured bacterium. RNAcentral's name for it is "partial 16S ribosomal RNA". It matches the Rfam family "Bacterial small subunit ribosomal RNA", at positions 28 to 507 of the family's 1533-position model. The record is from RNAcentral.
GACGAACGCUGGCGGCGUGCCUAAUACAUGCAAGUCGAGCGGACGAAUCGAAAGCUUGCUUUUGAUUCGUUAGCGGCGGACGGGUGAGUAACACGUGGGCAACCUGCCCUGUAGACGGGGAUAACACCGAGAAAUCGGCGCUAAUACCGGAUAACACGAAAUGUCGCAUGACGUUUCGUUGAAAGGCGGCGCAAGCUGCCGCUACAGGAUGGGCCCGCGGCGCAUUAGCUAGUUGGUGAGGUAACGGCUCACCAAGGCGACGAUACGUAGCCGACCUGAGAGGGUGAUCGGCCACACUGGGACUGAGACACGGCCCAGACUCCUACGGGAGGCAGCAGUAGGGAAUCUUCCGCAAUGGACGAAAGUCUGACGGAGCAACGCCGCGUGAGCGAAGAAGGCCUUCGGGUCGUAAAGCUCUGUUGUUAGGGAAGAACAAGUAACGCAGUAACUGGCGUUACUGUGACGGUACCUAACGAGAAAGCCACGGCUAACUACGUG